CCUACGGGUGGCAGCAGUGGGGGAUAUUGGACAAUGGGCGAAAGCCUGAUCCAGCCAUGCCGCGUGUGUGAAGAAGGCCUUCGGGUUGUAAAGCACUUUCAGUGGGGAAGAAAGCCUUGGGGCUAAUACCCUCGAGGAAGGACAUCACCCACAGAAGAAGCACCGGCUAACUCCGUGCCAGCAGCCGCGGUAAUACGGAGGGUGCGAGCGUUAAUCGGAAUUACUGGGCGUAAAGCGCGCGUAGGCGGUCUGAUAAGCCGGUUGUGAAAGCCCCGGGCUCAACCUGGGAACGGCAUCCGGAACUGUCAGGCUAGAGUGUAGGAGAGGAAGGUAGAAUUCCCGGUGUAGCGGUGAAAUGCGUAGAGAUCGGGAGGAAUACCAGUGGCGAAGGCGGCCUUCUGGACUGACACUGACGCUGAGGUGCGAAAGCGUGGGUAGCAAACAGGAUUAGAUACCCGAGUAGUC
RNAcentral lists this ribosomal RNA (465 nucleotides) under Vreelandella stevensii. RNAcentral's name for it is "partial 16S ribosomal RNA". It matches the Rfam family "Bacterial small subunit ribosomal RNA", at positions 338 to 795 of the family's 1533-position model. Lineage: Bacteria; Pseudomonadati; Pseudomonadota; Gammaproteobacteria; Oceanospirillales; Halomonadaceae. The record is from RNAcentral.